This 2905-nucleotide ribosomal RNA is filed under the name Escherichia coli. RNAcentral describes it as "23S ribosomal RNA". It matches the Rfam family "Bacterial large subunit ribosomal RNA". Lineage: Bacteria; Pseudomonadati; Pseudomonadota; Gammaproteobacteria; Enterobacterales; Enterobacteriaceae. The record is from RNAcentral.
GGUUAAGCGACUAAGCGUACACGGUGGAUGCCCUGGCAGUCAGAGGCGAUGAAGGACGUGCUAAUCUGCGAUAAGCGUCGGUAAGGUGAUAUGAACCGUUAUAACCGGCGAUUUCCGAAUGGGGAAACCCAGUGUGAUUCGUCACACUAUCAUUAACUGAAUCCAUAGGUUAAUGAGGCGAACCGGGGGAACUGAAACAUCUAAGUACCCCGAGGAAAAGAAAUCAACCGAGAUUCCCCCAGUAGCGGCGAGCGAACGGGGAGCAGCCCAGAGCCUGAAUCAGUGUGUGUGUUAGUGGAAGCGUCUGGAAAGGCGCGCGAUACAGGGUGACAGCCCCGUACACAAAAAUGCACAUACUGUGAGCUCGAUGAGUAGGGCGGGACACGUGGUAUCCUGUCUGAAUAUGGGGGGACCAUCCUCCAAGGCUAAAUACUCCUGACUGACCGAUAGUGAACCAGUACCGUGAGGGAAAGGCGAAAAGAACCCCGGCGAGGGGAGUGAAAAAGAACCUGAAACCGUGUACGUACAAGCAGUGGGAGCACAGAGCAAUCUGUGUGACUGCGUACCUUUUGUAUAAUGGGUCAGCGACUUAUAUUCUGUAGCAAGGUUAACCGAAUAGGGGAGCCGAAGGGAAACCGAGUCUUAACUGGGCGUUAAGUUGCAGGGUAUAGACCCGAAACCCGGUGAUCUAGCCAUGGGCAGGUUGAAGGUUGGGUAACACUAACUGGAGGACCGAACCGACUAAUGUUGAAAAAUUAGCGGAUGACUUGUGGCUGGGGGUGAAAGGCCAAUCAAACCGGGAGAUAGCUGGUUCUCCCCGAAAGCUAUUUAGGUAGCGCCUCGUGAAUUCAUCUCCGGGGGUAGAGCACUGUUUCGGCAAGGGGGUCAUCCCGACUUACCAACCCGAUGCAAACUGCGAAUACCGGAGAAUGUUAUCACGGGAGACACACGGCGGGUGCUAACGUCCGUCGUGAAGAGGGAAACAACCCAGACCGCCAGCUAAGGUCCCAAAGUCAUGGUUAAGUGGGAAACGAUGUGGGAAGGCCCAGACAGCCAGGAUGUUGGCUUAGAAGCAGCCAUCAUUUAAAGAAAGCGUAAUAGCUCACUGGUCGAGUCGGCCUGCGCGGAAGAUGUAACGGGGCUAAACCAUGCACCGAAGCUGCGGCAGCGACACUAUGUGUUGUUGGGUAGGGGAGCGUUCUGUAAGCCUGUGAAGGUGUGCUGUGAGGCAUGCUGGAGGUAUCAGAAGUGCGAAUGCUGACAUAAGUAACGAUAAAGCGGGUGAAAAGCCCGCUCGCCGGAAGACCAAGGGUUCCUGUCCAACGUUAAUCGGGGCAGGGUGAGUCGACCCCUAAGGCGAGGCCGAAAGGCGUAGUCGAUGGGAAACAGGUUAAUAUUCCUGUACUUGGUGUUACUGCGAAGGGGGGACGGAGAAGGCUAUGUUGGCCGGGCGACGGUUGUCCCGGUUUAAGCGUGUAGGCUGGUUUUCCAGGCAAAUCCGGAAAAUCAAGGCUGAGGCGUGAUGACGAGGCACUACGGUGCUGAAGCAACAAAUGCCCUGCUUCCAGGAAAAGCCUCUAAGCAUCAGGUAACAUCAAAUCGUACCCCAAACCGACACAGGUGGUCAGGUAGAGAAUACCAAGGCGCUUGAGAGAACUCGGGUGAAGGAACUAGGCAAAAUGGUGCCGUAACUUCGGGAGAAGGCACGCUGAUAUGUAGGUGAAGUCCCUCGCGGAUGGAGCUGAAAUCAGUCGAAGAUACCAGCUGGCUGCAACUGUUUAUUAAAAACACAGCACUGUGCAAACACGAAAGUGGACGUAUACGGUGUGACGCCUGCCCGGUGCCGGAAGGUUAAUUGAUGGGGUCAGCGCAAGCGAAGCUCUUGAUCGAAGCCCCGGUAAACGGCGGCCGUAACUAUAACGGUCCUAAGGUAGCGAAAUUCCUUGUCGGGUAAGUUCCGACCUGCACGAAUGGCGUAAUGAUGGCCAGGCUGUCUCCACCCGAGACUCAGUGAAAUUGAACUCGCUGUGAAGAUGCAGUGUACCCGCGGCAAGACGGAAAGACCCCGUGAACCUUUACUAUAGCUUGACACUGAACAUUGAGCCUUGAUGUGUAGGAUAGGUGGGAGGCUUUGAAGUGUGGACGCCAGUCUGCAUGGAGCCGACCUUGAAAUACCACCCUUUAAUGUUUGAUGUUCUAACGUGGACCCGUAAUCCGGGUUGCGGACAGUGUCUGGUGGGUAGUUUGACUGGGGCGGUCUCCUCCUAAAGAGUAACGGAGGAGCACGAAGGUUGGCUAAUCCUGGUCGGACAUCAGGAGGUUAGUGCAAUGGCAUAAGCCAGCUUGACUGCGAGCGUGACGGCGCGAGCAGGUGCGAAAGCAGGUCAUAGUGAUCCGGUGGUUCUGAAUGGAAGGGCCAUCGCUCAACGGAUAAAAGGUACUCCGGGGAUAACAGGCUGAUACCGCCCAAGAGUUCAUAUCGACGGCGGUGUUUGGCACCUCGAUGUCGGCUCAUCACAUCCUGGGGCUGAAGUAGGUCCCAAGGGUAUGGCUGUUCGCCAUUUAAAGUGGUACGCGAGCUGGGUUUAGAACGUCGUGAGACAGUUCGGUCCCUAUCUGCCGUGGGCGCUGGAGAACUGAGGGGGGCUGCUCCUAGUACGAGAGGACCGGAGUGGACGCAUCACUGGUGUUCGGGUUGUCAUGCCAAUGGCACUGCCCGGUAGCUAAAUGCGGAAGAGAUAAGUGCUGAAAGCAUCUAAGCACGAAACUUGCCCCGAGAUGAGUUCUCCCUGACUCCUUGAGAGUCCUGAAGGAACGUUGAAGACGACGACGUUGAUAGGCCGGGUGUGUAAGCGCAGCGAUGCGUUGAGCUAACCGGUACUAAUGAACCGUGAGGCUUAACCUU